UCGCAAGGUUGAAACUCAAAGGAAUUGACGGGGGCCCGCACAAGCGGAGGAACAUGUGGUUUAAUUCGAUGAUACGCGAGGAACCUUACCUGGGCUUAAAUGUAGAUUGCAUGGAUUGGAAACAGUCCUUCCCUUCGGGGCUAUUUACAAGGUGCUGCAUGGUUGUCGUCAGCUCGUGCCGUGAGGUGUCGGGUUAAGUCCCAUAACGAGCGCAACCCUUAUCGUUAGUUGCCAGCGGGUAGAGCCGGGGACUCUAGCGAGACUGCCACCGUAAGGUGAGAGGAAGGUGGGGAUGACGUCAAAUCAGCACGGCCCUUAUGUCCAGGGCUACACACGUGUUACGAUGGCAAGUACAAAGGGCAGCUACACUGCGAAGUGAUGCUAAUCUCAAAAGCUUGUCCCAGUUCGGAUUGGAGUCUGCAACCCGACUCCAUGAAGUUGGAUUCGCUAGUAAUCGGAUAUCAGCCAUGAUCCGGUGAAUACGUUCCCGGGCCUUGUACACACCGCCCGUCAAACCAUGGGAGCUGGGGGUGCCUGAAGUCUGCCACCGAGAGGAG
Molecule: ribosomal RNA, 557 nt
Filed under: uncultured Bacteroidota bacterium
Lineage: Bacteria; Pseudomonadati; Bacteroidota
Description: bacterial SSU rRNA
Rfam family: Bacterial small subunit ribosomal RNA
Source: RNAcentral